RNAcentral lists this ribosomal RNA (292 nucleotides) under uncultured bacterium. RNAcentral describes it as "partial 16S ribosomal RNA". It matches the Rfam family "Bacterial small subunit ribosomal RNA", at positions 505 to 796 of the family's 1533-position model. The record is from RNAcentral.
GUGUCAGCAGCCGCGGUAAGACGAAGGUGGCAAGCGUUGUUCGGAUUCACUGGGCAUAAAGGGCGCGUAGGCGGUUCCGAAAGUGGCGUGUGAAAUCCCCCGGCUCAACCGGGGAAGUGCACGCCAAACUUCGGUUCUAGAGGACGGUAGGGGGGACUGGAACUCUCGGUGGAGCGGUGAAAUGCGUAGAUAUCGAGAGGAACACCGGCGGCGAAGGCGAGUCCCUGGUCCGUUUCUGACGCUGAGGCGCGAAAGCGUGGGUAGCAAACAGGAUUAGAAACCCGCGUAGUCC